Molecule: unclassified non-coding RNA, 151 nt
Filed under: uncultured Basidiomycota
Lineage: Eukaryota; Fungi; Basidiomycota
Description: sequence contains ITS2
Source: RNAcentral
UAAUCUCAAUAUUUUUAAAAUUUAUUGGACUUGGGUGUUGCCGUUGUAGGCUCAUCUGAAAUACAUUAGAAAGCUUGGUUUUUGGUCGAGUGUGAUAAAUGUUAAUCUCAUUCAUCAAGGAUGUUAGCUUUCUUAUAAGCAUUAAGAUGUU